This 1347-nucleotide long non-coding RNA is filed under the name Vulpes vulpes (red fox). Its description in RNAcentral is "lncRNA (ENSVVUG00000014675.1)". The stretch from base 594 to 682 matches the Rfam family "mir-8799 microRNA precursor family". The record is from RNAcentral. Lineage: Eukaryota; Metazoa; Chordata; Mammalia; Carnivora; Canidae.
NNNNNNNGUCAUUUUGCUCAGUGCAGAGUGGCCAAAAACAAGUUGUAUUGGGAAAAGGAGAAAAAGAGAGGAGAGAAAGAAGGAAAGAAAAGAGAAAAAGAAAAAAGAAAAAAGGAAGAAAAAAGAAAAAAAAAAGAAGAAAAAGAAAGGAAAAAAGGGGUGGGGGAAGCUAACAAAUCAAAAAGCAAAACAAAAACAAAAACAAAAACAAAACAACAACAACAACAAAACACGGGGGGUGGUGUAUCUUCCGAUUCUGUAUAUUUUAAGUCCCUUGACUUCCCCUGGACCUGGUCCGUGUCGCUGGUCUUCUGGGGGAGGGGCCUGCUGUGCUGAUUCUCAGGUGUUAGCACUUGGGGGAGCUGCUCUGCCCCUGCCUGGUGCAGGGCUCAGUGGGGGUUGUUCACCCCGUGAGGCCCCGGGAGGAAGCCACAGUGGCGGGGGCAGCUCUGGGACCCUGGAGUCAGCUCCCGCAGUAGCUCCGGGGCUCUCCGUCUGCAGGGCCUGGGGGCUCCCGGGCGGGGCCGCUGAUCUGCUCAGUUCCAGGCAGGAGCGUCCUCGCUGUCCUGGGCCCUCCCGGCCUCUGCCUGUCCCGGGGGAGGCCGGAUCCUGGGCUGUGUCCCGGCGCCCUGUGCUCCGGGGCCUGCGCUGUUGGAUUCGCGCUCCCGCCCCGCAGCCCCCUCCGCGGAGCCGCCGCCCGAGCCCCUCCGAGCUGUUCCCGGAGCCGCGCCGCCCCCUCCGCGGAGCUUCUUCCUCCGCCCGAGCCGCCGCCGCCGAGCUGUUCCCGGAGCCCCGCAGCCCCCUCCGCGGAGCCGCCGCCCGAGCCCCUCCGAGCUGUUCCCGGCGCCCCGCAGCCCCCUCCGCGGAGCCGCCGCCCGAGCCCCUCCGAGCUGUUCCCGGAGCCGCGCAGCCCCCUCCGCGGAGCUUCUUCCUCCGCCCGAGCCCCUCCGAGCUGCUCCGGGUCCCGCUGCGCGCUGCAGCCCUUAGGGAGCUCGGGGCAUCUCCCGGGGCGCAGUUCCUCUGUUACUGUCCCAGGGAGCCCGAGGGCAUCACCGCCUUUCUGGGGAUCCUGCUCCAACUCCCUGCGGGCCCCUUUCCGCCCGGGAAGGUCGGUGCAGCUCCUGCUCCUCCGGGACGGGGCUCUCCUGCCCUGGGGACACUCGCCCCUCGCGGGGCUCCUCCCCCUGGGAGGACUUUUGUGUCUUUAUUUCUUUUUCCCCGUCUUCCUACCUUGAUAGAAGUGCGAACUCUUCUCACUGUAGCAUCCCAGCUGGUCUCUCUUUAAAUCUCAGGCCGAAUUCGUAGAUUUUCAGGAUGAUUUGAAGGUUAUCUAGGUAAUUUUGUGGG